UCGGAUACAUAUUUCGUGUGGCAAUUUGCCGCGAUAACAGGGUUUUCCAGUUUAAUUGUCUUUCUAUAUGUAAGCUUGAAAAUACUGAAAUAUGGCAACUCCAGAUGGCAGACGAGUGAACAGACCUUAUAGAAAAGCAUCAGAAUAUCUAGCAACCAAGCAAUCACCGUAUAAUGGGCCCAAGACAAUCGUAAUGCAGCAGAGUUACUCUGAACUCCAGUCCAUCAACUAUGA
This is a non-coding RNA of Styela clava, 234 nucleotides long. NCBI's taxonomy places the organism in Eukaryota, Metazoa, Chordata, Ascidiacea, Stolidobranchia, Styelidae. The record is from RefSeq and is a predicted model, not a curated record.